This 71-nucleotide transfer RNA is filed under the name Syrista parreyssii. RNAcentral's name for it is "tRNA-Arg". The record is from RNAcentral. Lineage: Eukaryota; Metazoa; Arthropoda; Insecta; Hymenoptera; Cephidae.
UUUUAUAUAGUAUAUCAAUAAAAUACAUUCAAUUUCGACUUGAAAAAUAAUAAUUAUUUUAUUUAUAAAUU